UUCAUCAUUUCUGGAUUCUUCUUUCACACACGUCUUUUCUUUCUCUUCUCUGUCUACUCUUUCUCUUCUCUGUGUUUUUCGUUCCACUGUAUCUAGGGUUGAUUUGCAGGGUAUUCUCCUUAAGGACAUUCAAACCAAAGAGAAGAUUUCUAUAGCUAAACUCAUUGGUGGCUUGUACAUCUUAGAUUCAUCUUUGAACAUACUUACUGCAACUUUUUCCAACAAUGUUGUAAACAAUACUAGCCUAUGGCAUCUUAGAUUAGGACAUCCUUAUGAUAUUAGAUUGAAUAGUUUGAAACUCAAAUACUCAUUCAUUGUGCAUAAUCCCACAUACAUAUGUGAUGCUUGCCAUCUGCUAAACAAAGAAAAUUGUCUUUCUCUAGUACUA
This is a long non-coding RNA of Vigna angularis (adzuki bean), 388 nucleotides long. RefSeq lists it as uncharacterized. The record is from RefSeq and is a predicted model, not a curated record. The transcript has 2 exons. NCBI's taxonomy places the organism in Eukaryota, Viridiplantae, Streptophyta, Magnoliopsida, Fabales, Fabaceae.